Molecule: ribosomal RNA, 388 nt
Filed under: uncultured bacterium
Lineage: Bacteria
Description: bacterial SSU rRNA
Rfam family: Bacterial small subunit ribosomal RNA
Source: RNAcentral
GACGAACGCUGGCGGCGUGCUUAACACAUGCAAGUCGAGCGGUAAGGCCCUUUCGGGGGUACACGAGCGGCGAACGGGUGAGUAACACGUGGGUGACCUGCCUUUAGCUCUGGGAUAAGCCUGGGAAACCGGGUCUAAUACCGGAUAUGACUCCGCGGCGCAUGUUGUGGGGUGGAAAGCCUUGUGCGGCUGGAGAUGGGCCCGCGGCCUAUCAGCUUGUUGGUGGGGUGANGGCCUACCAAGGCGACGACGGGUAGCCGGCCUGAGAGGGCGACCGGCCACACUGGGACUGAGACACGGCCCAGACUCCUACGGGAGGCAGCAGUGGGGAAUCUUGCGCAAUGGGCGAAAGCCUGACGCAGCGACGCCGCGUGAGGGAUGACGGCCU